Molecule: small nucleolar RNA, 120 nt
Organism: Sphaerodactylus townsendi
Lineage: Eukaryota; Metazoa; Chordata; Lepidosauria; Squamata; Sphaerodactylidae
Product: small nucleolar RNA SNORA26
Exons: 1
Source: RefSeq, a predicted model, not a curated record
UUGCCCUCUUAAGGCUGUGUAGUGCUUUAAGUGGCCAAUACAGAAGGGUAUAGAAGUGUUCUCUUAAACCUAGAGGGAAGGAUGAAGUUCCUUCUCUGGAUCUUGUUGGGAGAAACAUAA